This 460-nucleotide ribosomal RNA is filed under the name uncultured bacterium. RNAcentral describes it as "partial 16S ribosomal RNA". It matches the Rfam family "Bacterial small subunit ribosomal RNA", at positions 338 to 795 of the family's 1533-position model. The record is from RNAcentral.
CCUACGGGAGGCAGCAGUGAGGAAUAUUGGUCAAUGGACGAGAGUCUGAACCAGCCAAGUAGCGUGAAGGAUGACUGCCCUAUGGGUUGUAAACUUCUUUUAUAUGGGAAUAAAAUGUUCCACGUGUGGGAUUUUGUAUGUACCAUAUGAAUAAGGAUCGGCUAACUCCGUGCCAGCAGCCGCGGUAAUACGGAGGAUCCGAGCGUUAUCCAGAUUUAUUGGGUUUAAAGGGAGCGUAGGUGGAUUGUUAAGUCAGUUGUGAAAGUUUGCGGCUCAACCGUAAAAUUGCAGUUGAAACUGGCAGUCUUGAGUACAGUAGAGGUGGGCGGAAUUCGUGGUGUAGCGGUGAAAUGAUUAGAUAUCACGAAGAGCUCCGAUUGCGAAGGCAGUUCACUGGACUGCAACUGACACUGAGGCUCGAAAGUGUGGGUAUCAAACAGGAUUAGAUACCCCGGUAGUC